This 1758-nucleotide long non-coding RNA is filed under the name Mus musculus (house mouse). RNAcentral's name for it is "long non-coding RNA chr7:136288086-136289844". Lineage: Eukaryota; Metazoa; Chordata; Mammalia; Rodentia; Muridae. The record is from RNAcentral.
AAUAAACAAUUGCAUAUAGUAAUGACACCAAAUGAUUUCCAGACUAAUUAAUACACUGGUAAAUGAUUCACAAAUUUUUUCUAGAUAUGAAGUUAGUAGACAGAUAGCAUCUGUUUAUAUAGUGUCAUGAAAUGAAAUAAAGUAUGGGAGGGAUCACUUACAGUAUGAUUUUUUUAAAGCAUAUGAGGACAGACACUGCACAUAAAACAAGGAAGGUUUAAUACAGAAAACUGUGGCGCUAAUCACAUUAGACUAAUUAGACACCCGGGGCAGUAAGGAAGGCAUGAGCAAUGUUCACGAACUAGAUGCUAGGGACGCCUCAAGGCUUCACUACCUGGCUUCGUGGGAGGUUCUGAGUGGAUGCUCUCUGUCUACUAAAUUCACACCUGGAAACAUUCAGCAGGUGUUAUUAAGAAUCCGAGGGGCCAGACAAAGAAACCAGAGUCGAGAGCUACAAUUUGUAUACUAAGAAAAGGCUCAGUCUACAUUAUGCCACAUAAAGAAGAUAGGCAACCUGAAUAAAAAUGCACAAAAGACAUGAACGGACACUUGAAGCAGGGGAAUCCACAUAUCUAACAGGCAUACUAGGCAUUCAAUUUCAUUGUUCAUGGGCAAUGCAUCAUUAAAACUAUAAGAGAUGCUGUAGCAUGACUCCCUGAAAGGCUGAAAUGAUAAAGACUAUUAAUACAGUGUAGUGCUAAGACCAUUGUAGGAGAGAAAUUUGUAUACCCUGAUGAUGGGAGUAUUAAUUGUCAGACACGUUCAAGGCUACUUUGCAUGAUGCAUAAACAUGAAAUGUUGUGGUGUGCAGUCUCCGGUGUAUUUAAUGUAACAUAGGUGUGCACACACGCUGUUAGACAUGCACAGGAAUUCACGGGAGCACUUUCUAAAGAAGUCUCAAGCCACAGCAGACCAAGGUUUCAGCAGGAGAGAAGAAACACUUAUAUGGCGGGAGCUGAAUACCUUGAAAUGGUUUUGUUUUGUUUGUUUGUUUGUUUGUUUUAGUAAAUGAAACAAAAAUUAUCUCAGUGGUAUGGUUGGGCUUUGGAAACAAAACACUGAACAGAAAAGACCAGAUGCAAAAGAGAAUUUAAGGAGCUAGAGAGAUAGCUCAACAAAUAAGAGCACUUGCUGCAUUCACAAGGGACUUAGGUUUGGUUCUCAGCACCCAACUCAAGUACCACGGUCUGCCUAUAAAGUUCAUCUCCAGGGGAGCCAACACCCUCUUGUGGUCUCCAGGCAAACCUGCACUCAUGUGCAUAUAGUCGCACAUAGGUACACAUAUAGACAAAGAAUUGAAAAUAAUACAAAUAUUUAAAAACUGGUAUAAAGAGGCCAGAGAGAUGGCUGAGUAGUUGAAAGCAUUGACUUCUGCUAAUUCAGAGGUCUUGAGUUCAAUUCCCAGCAACCACAUGAUAGCUCUGAUACCUUCUUCUGCUGUGUCUCAAGAGAGCAACAGGGUACUCACAUGCAUAAAAUAAGUAAUCUUUUUAAAAGACUAGUUUAAAAAAAGAAUAUUUAAGUCCUUUUAUAUAAAUUCCACCUAUAUCGAAGUUCAUUUAUAUUAAGGUCAGAGUGUGCAAUUUAUAGAGAGAGUUUCUGGGUCAGACUUGGAUAGGUUCAGCUUUUCUGAGUCCCUGCUAUAUCAGCAGGGUACUCCCUUCUACAGGCUGCUGGGAGCAGGCCUGUGAGGACCCUCAGAGACUUCCGUGCUUCUGACUUGGGUGGUAUUUACAGAGGUGUUUGCUUUUUGAUAAU